AGAGGUAAGGGUGAUCUGGCUGUGACAUCUGUCACCCCAUUGAUCGCCAGGGUUGAUUCAGCUGAUCUGGCUGGCUAGGUGGGUGUCCCCUUCCUCCCUUAUCACUCCAUGUGUGUCCCGCAAAGCUGUGCACUCAGUGGAAGAGGACAAUCUUGCCCAACGGAGGAAGACCAUUCUUCAGUCAAGGAUAUACAAGCAGCUGGAUUCCUCUGCUAGAAACUCCAAAUAAGCUCUCAAGAAAUGAGGGAUCUCAGGCUCCACCACAGACCUUAUUAAAUAGGAAUCUGCACUGUAACAAGAGCCCUUGAAGAUUCCAAUGAACGUGAAAGUUUGAAAAGCACUGUGCUGACAUCAUCUU
RNAcentral lists this small nuclear RNA (358 nucleotides) under Canis lupus dingo (dingo). RNAcentral describes it as "7SK RNA (ENSCAFG00020027521.1)". It matches the Rfam family "7SK RNA". From Rfam's summary of the family: 7SK was discovered as an abundant small nuclear RNA in the mid-70s but a possible function has only recently been suggested. Two independent studies have found that 7SK RNA binds the CDK9/cyclin T complex (known as elongation factor P-TEFb). P-TEFb activates transcription by phosphorylating the C-terminal domain of RNA polymerase II. Lineage: Eukaryota; Metazoa; Chordata; Mammalia; Carnivora; Canidae. The record is from RNAcentral.